Molecule: long non-coding RNA, 2022 nt
Filed under: Homo sapiens (human)
Lineage: Eukaryota; Metazoa; Chordata; Mammalia; Primates; Hominidae
Description: uncharacterized LOC105373757, transcript variant 8 (LOC105373757)
Source: RNAcentral
AAUGGCAGGAGACACCAUGAGAUGUUUUCUACUGUAGAAACUUUCUCAUUAGAAAUAGCCCAUUUAUACAGGGGACUGGCUAAUGUUUUUCUAUGAGUAUCAUUAGCCAGUGUCUCAAAGUGGUGAAGAGUGAUAAAAUGGAGAAGAGAAAAAAGGAAAGGGAGUAUCUUCUGAUUGUAUUUAUUCCAUGGGUUUUUCAACUCUAAGAAACCUGAGGCUAACAGUUUACAAAGAAUUGAAAAAACCGUACAAUGAGUCCAAAGCUUAUUUUAACCCUUCUAUAGAUUUUCAUGCCUUCUUGAAGCCAAUUUGGAGCUUAGAAAUAUUUAUUAUUGGUAUUUCUAAUGAAGAAUGUUCUUUAUACACACCUGUCACCAACAGUAACCUCAUGAUUUAGAGGCAUUAGCUUCUUUUCCUACAAGCUUAGUGUGGGGUCAAGGUUACCUCUGGUCCAGAAUAUCUGGCAUAUGACAUAUUUGCAGGACUGCAACCUGGAACAAGGAGAGACAAAGGGAAGGAGGAGUCUGGAGCCAUAUUGAAGAUGAAAUUGAGAUAUGGACUAGGUGGUGGAUCGUUUUUAUAAGAGGACAUAAAAGAGGAUGCUAAAGCUAAUUGCCACAAUCAGAACUCAAAGACCUAGCAAAUGCAAGGUGGUAUUUAUUCUAAACUCAGCAAAGUAGUAGAAAAAUAGUUUUGAGAACAGUUUUAAGGAGACUAGGGUAACAGUGAGAAAAUAGUUCAUGGCUAGUCUGGACUUAGGACUUUAGGGUCGGCCUGGUGAAUUGAAGGGAAGCAGCUGAUACACUCUGGUUGCCUUGUACCCUGGCUUUUGGUGCUUUCCCAUGUGCUGUAGUCAUCAGUAAUCUGGAGGAAAUGCUAUAGAGGCAAAGACACCAUUAGAUGGGUGCUCAACUAGCAAACAGGAUGUGACCACAGAGUAGUUACCCCAAGACCAGGUCAGCAUGACCCAAAAGGCAGAAGAGGACAAGGUUUAUGAGUGUUGGGCUGAGCUCACGCCUGCUUGAACAUCUCAAGAACAAUGUUAAUGAUGGAAGAGAGAGAUAGGAGAGGAAACUCAUUAAACUUGCCAAAUAUGAGAUGUAGCUGGGUUGGCUCUAUGUAAGCAUGGCAGAAAAGCAUUUAGAAGUCAUAAUACAUUUAAAAUAAGAGCUACCAGCAUAGCAGUGACAUGAAGAAGGCAUGUGUUUUGUUAAAAAGUUUUAAAUACUCCUAUAAAAGAUAGUAAGGUACAAGUUGUUUGCUUGAUCAGCAAUGCUAAUUGCCUUUGAAGUGCAUGCCUGGGGAUUCCAUGGAGAGAGGACCCUGUUUCUCCACCCCAACCCAAAUUCACUGAGUUUAUGUCAGAAUGUUCAGAAGCCCCUUUACAAAUUCCUCUGAUUGCCUUGUUAGACACUGGCCACCUCCCUGAACCUGGGCCAAGAUGAGGGUCUACACCUUGGCUUAGUUCUACUAUGAAAGACUUUCCUGCAGUAAAAGUUACCUGUCUGAAACAUUCAGAAGAGUGAAAAUGCCACAUCUCCAAUUUCCAGCAAUAUAUUUGUCUGCCAUGAUUUGGCCUGGAAGCUUAAGCAGGAAGACCACUUGGAGCCAGACUUCAGAGUGAUCUGUCUCUAAGGAAUAACUUUCAUAUUGCAGCGUUCGGUUUUGCAAUUCUUCCUAAGCUACUCUAAAUUCGCAGCAUAAAUCUGCAGAAAGACUUCACCCUCCACAUCAAACCCUUAUAAGGAUCCAUUUCUGCUCUCAUUUUAGAAUAUCUUUUCUAAUAGCUAAAGGCAGACAGAGGCAAACCAAGAAAUCCAGACUUUGCAUCAACGGGUUAAAUCAUAUGUCAAAGGUGCAACCAUAACGUAUUACAAGCUUCUCAUCACAUAAUACAUCACUCAAGAAAAAAUAUUUGGGCAGCUUUUCUAAUUCAUCUUCCUGGUGUUAAAGGAGCACAUCUCCAGUGUUCGUGUCUUCUGUUUCAAUUAAAGCAAUCAUGCCUACUCUUUUAGGAAACUA